This 72-nucleotide transfer RNA is filed under the name Spirochaetales bacterium. Its description in RNAcentral is "tRNA-Thr". It matches the Rfam family "tRNA". Rfam says of the family: Transfer RNA (tRNA) molecules are approximately 80 nucleotides in length. Their secondary structure includes four short double-helical elements and three loops (D, anti-codon, and T loops). Lineage: Bacteria; Pseudomonadati; Spirochaetota; Spirochaetia; Spirochaetales. The record is from RNAcentral.
GCCCUUGUAGCUCAGUGGUAGAGCACCUCCAUGGUAAGGAGGGGGUCCGCGGUUCAAGUCCGCGCGAGGGCU